Molecule: non-coding RNA, 427 nt
Organism: Dermacentor albipictus
Lineage: Eukaryota; Metazoa; Arthropoda; Arachnida; Ixodida; Ixodidae
Source: RefSeq, a predicted model, not a curated record
AGCUUUUACGUCGACACGGACGAAAUUCUUUUUGACGGCUGUCAUCGCCUUCUCUUGGAAGAGACCUUCAGACACGACUACAAAACAACCUUCCUUAUCAGAAGUCGUCAUCCUGGAAAGCAUAUCCAUACACUCUGUGAUGAAACGUGGACGCUCUUCUACAGCCACACGACGCGCCAUGGACUUGGUCAGUGCUACUUUUUCUGGUUGUGGGAAGGCCGGCUCGAAGCAGAACUUCGGACCGAGUUCAAGAAUCCUUUUGAAGUUCUCGGGAACAGUGGUGUCUCCUAAGGCGCUGCCUUCCAAUGGUUUGUGCUUCUUUUGUCUAGAUUUGUUAUUUGGUCAUCAAGGUGACUAUCGCUUUAUGAUCCCUAUGAUAUACGACCAGUGGCGCUGUAGUGACACCGUAAGGUCAUCGGCCAAUGUG